AAGAACAGUUUCAGGUUAAGUAUGGACCUCCGGAACGAAUUAAGUACUUAACUCGAGGUACCACUGUACAGAUAUUGACUGGGCUGAUGGUUAUAUCUUUCUUCAGCACCGAUGAUAGGAUAUCAUUCACCGGUGCACCUGAGGUGCAGCAGGGUAGCUUAGGAGGCAAGCGCAAGGUAAGUUGUGUAGACCCACACAGCAAUAUCCUUCAGUUGAUGAUCAUGGCUGGUCCUCAAGAGGAACGGCCACAGGACUGACAUGACCUGCCGUUAUCUACUGCCUGAGACAGUUGCCUCAUUUUGCCCAAUGGUUGCGUUGAUCUUGGUGGUCUGUAGGGAUUGUGAGGUAGUGUGGAAAUGAAGUUUUGUAAUAAAAAAGUAUAAAAUAAAAAAGGGACGUGGGUGGCGCUGUGGGUUAAACCACAGAGCCUAGGACUUGCCGAUCAGAAGGUCGGUGGUUCAAAUCCCCGCUAUGGGGAGAACUCCCAUUGUUCGGUCCCAGCUCCUG
This is a non-coding RNA of Podarcis lilfordi (Lilford's wall lizard), 507 nucleotides long. The record is from the annotation of a GenBank genome assembly. Lineage: Eukaryota; Metazoa; Chordata; Lepidosauria; Squamata; Lacertidae.